This 827-nucleotide long non-coding RNA is filed under the name Olea europaea subsp. europaea. The record is from RNAcentral. Lineage: Eukaryota; Viridiplantae; Streptophyta; Magnoliopsida; Lamiales; Oleaceae.
GAACACCAAAGAUUUUUCGCCCUUAGACCCGGAUGUUCACCCACAAAAGGCUAAUCACCACGUUGAGCAUCCACUUUAAGUGGUUAUCGCUCCAAUCCACUAGAACCAACAAAAUAUCAAGUGUUUAAGGAUUACAACACGAUAGAUCUUAAAAGAUCUAGCCCUUAGACUCUGAAAAGUUUCAGAUUCUCACUCACACAGAUUACACCAAAGUGAUCAGCACCAAACACUCAAUCAGUAAGUAGAAUCAUCACAUGAAUACUGUAAUCUAUACUAGAUCUUAUCAAGAACACCUAGAAACCAAGAGAUUACAGACGAAAACCAAGAGUUUUCAGAGAAGAGAUGAACAGAGAACGAAGACCCAAGAAGUCUCUCGAAUAGUCAGGCAAGUGAAGAGUCUAGGGCAAGGUAAAUGAAAAAUCAUUUGCAUCCAACGGUUCAGCCGACUCCACCUGGCAUCAUCUGAUCCAUCCAAUUAAAACAAACUAAAGUCGCAUUUACAAGAGAAACACGAGACUGCACAAGUGGGGGCAAACCGGGUCACAUUCAGUUAAAAGGGCCACUCCUUUUUGGGCUGCAUCAUUGGGCUCCAAAAAUGUCGAGCAUAACAUCUAACAUUCUCCACCUUGCUUGACAUUUUGGGUUUCAAGUGGAUUAGAGAAUAACACUUUCUUUAGAUUUCAUUUGCUCUUAUUUCCUACCAAAAAAAAAAAACUUUAGUUAGUAAUAAUAUUUAGGAGAUUUAAGCAAUUCCUAAAUUUAUGUAAAGGAAGUAUCUUUGUUCCCAUAUCAACUAGAUUACACUUAGUGGAAAUCUUAUCAAUUUU